GUGGGCGUGCGGGCGAUACGGGCAGACUUGAGUACUGCAGGGGAGACUGGAAUUCCUGGUGUAGCGGUGGAAUGCGCAGAUAUCAGGAGGAACACCGGUGGCGAAGGCGGGUCUCUGGGCAGUAACUGACGCUGAGGAGCGAAAGCGUGGGGAGCGAACAGGAUUAGAUACCCUGGUAGUCCACGCCGUAAACGGUGGGUACUAGGUGUGGGUUUCCUUCCUUGGGAUCCGUGCCGUAGCUAACGCAUUAAGUACCCCGCCUGGGGAGUACGGCCGCAAGGCUAAAACUCAAAGAAAUUGACGGGGGCCCGCACAAGCGGCGGAGCAUGUGGAUUAAUUCGAUGCAACGCGAAGAACCUUACCUGGGUUUGACAUGCACAGGACGCCAGUAGAGAUAUUGGUUCCCUUGUGGCCUGUGUGCAGGUGGUGCAUGGCUGUCGUCAGCUCGUGUCGUGAGAUGUUGGGUUAAGUCCCGCAACGAGCGCAACCCUUGUCCUAUGUUGCCAGCGGGUUAUGCCGGGGACUCGUAGGAGACUGCCGGGGUCAACUCGGAGGAAGGUGGGGAUGACGUCAAGUCAUCAUGCCCCUUAUGUCCAGGGCUUCACACAUGCUACAAUGGCCGGUACAAAGGGCUGCGAUGCCGUGAGGUGGAGCGAAUCCUUUCAAAGCCGGUCUCAGUUCGGAUCG
RNAcentral lists this ribosomal RNA (687 nucleotides) under uncultured bacterium. RNAcentral describes it as "bacterial SSU rRNA". It matches the Rfam family "Bacterial small subunit ribosomal RNA", at positions 615 to 1300 of the family's 1533-position model. The record is from RNAcentral.